GAUCCUGGCUCAGGAUGAACGCUGGCGGCGUGCUUAACACAUGCAAGUCGAACGGGAAUUACAUUUUAGCUUGCUAAGUUGUAAUUCUAGUGGCGGACGGGUGAGUAACGCGUGGGGUAACCUGCCUUAUACCGGGGGACAACAGUUGGAAACGACUGCUAAUACCGCAUAAGCGCACAGAUAGGCAUCUAUCAGUGUGAAAAAACUCCGGUGGUAUAAGAUGGACCCGCGUCUGAUUAGCCAGUUGGCGGUGUAACGGACCACCAAAGCGACGAUCAGUAGCCGGCCUGAGAGGGCAAACGGCCACAUUGGGACUGAGACACGGCCCAAACUCCUACGGGAGGCAGCAGUGGGGAAUAUUGCACAAUGGAGGAAACUCUGAUGCAAGCGACGCCGCGUGAGUGAAGAAGUAUUUCGGUAUGUAAAGCUCUAUCAGCAGGAAAGAAAAUGACGGUACCUGACUAAGAAGCCCCGGCUAACUACGUGCCAGCAGCCGC
This 497-nucleotide ribosomal RNA is filed under the name uncultured bacterium. Its description in RNAcentral is "bacterial SSU rRNA". It matches the Rfam family "Bacterial small subunit ribosomal RNA", at positions 15 to 518 of the family's 1533-position model. The record is from RNAcentral.